This 446-nucleotide ribosomal RNA is filed under the name uncultured bacterium. RNAcentral describes it as "SSU rRNA". It matches the Rfam family "Bacterial small subunit ribosomal RNA", at positions 26 to 518 of the family's 1533-position model. The record is from RNAcentral.
AGAGCGAACGCUGGCGGCAGGCUUAACACAUGCAAGUCGAGCGCCCCGCAAGGGGAGCGGCAGACGGGAGAGUAACACGUGGGAACGUACCUUUCGGUUCGGAACAACCCAGGGAAACUUGGGCUAAUACCGGAUACGCCCGCAAGGGGAAAGAUUUAUCGCCGGAAGAUCGGCCCGCGUCUGAUUAGCUAGUUGGUGAGGUAACGGCUCACCAAGGCGACGAUCAGUAGCUGGUCUGAGAGGAUGAUCAGCCUCACUGGGACUGAGACACGGCCCAGACUCCUACGGGAGGCAGCAGUGGGGAAUAUUGGACAAUGGGCGCAAGCCUGAUCCAGCCAUGCCGCGUGGGUGAUGAAGGCCCUAGGGGUUGUAAAGCCCUUUCGGGCGGGGAAGAUAAUGACGGUACCCGCAGAAGAAGCCCCGGCUAACUUCGCGCCAGCAGCCGC